This 1372-nucleotide ribosomal RNA is filed under the name uncultured bacterium. RNAcentral describes it as "bacterial SSU rRNA". It matches the Rfam family "Bacterial small subunit ribosomal RNA", at positions 28 to 1381 of the family's 1533-position model. The record is from RNAcentral.
GAUGAACGCUGGCGGCGUGCCUAAUACAUGCAAGUCGAGCGAACGGACGAGAAGCUUGCUUCUCUGAUGUUAGCGGCGGACGGGUGAGUAACACGUGGAUAACCUACCUAUAAGACUGGGAUAACUUCGGGAAACCGGAGCUAAUACCGGAUAAUAUUUUGAACCGCAUGGUUCAAAAGUGAAAGACGGUCUUGCUGUCACUUAUAGAUGGAUCCGCGCUGCAUUAGCUAGUUGGUAAGGUAACGGCUUACCAAGGCAACGAUGCAUAGCCGACCUGAGAGGGUGAUCGGCCACACUGGAACGGAGACACGGUCCAGACUCCUACGGGAGGCAGCAGUAGGGAAUCUUCCGCAAUGGGCGAAAGCCUGACGGAGCAACGCCGCGUGAGUGAUGAAGGUCUUCGGAUCGUAAAACUCUGUUAUUAGGGAAGAACAUAUGUGUAAGUAACUGUGCACAUCUUGACGGUACCUAAUCAGAAAGCCACGGCUAACUACGUGCCAGCAGCCGCGGUAAUACGUAGGUGGCAAGCGUUAUCCGGAAUUAUUGGGCGUAAAGCGCGCGUAGGCGGUUUUUUAAGUCUGAUGUGAAAGCCCACGGCUCAACCGUGGAGGGUCAUUGGAAACUGGAAAACUUGAGUGCAGAAGAGGAAAGUGGGAUUCCAUGUGUAGCGGUGAAAUGCGCAGAGAUAUGGAGGAACACCAGUGGCGAAGGCGACUUUCUGGUCUGUAACUGACGCUGAUGUGCGAAAGCGUGGGGAUCAAACAGGAUUAGAUACCCUGGUAGUCCACGCCGUAAACGAUGAGUGCUAAGUGUUAGGGGGUUUCCGCCCCUUAGUGCUGCAGCUAACGCAUUAAGCACUCCGCCUGGGGAGUACGACCGCAAGGUUGAAACUCAAAGGAAUUGACGGGGACCCGCACAAGCGGUGGAGCAUGUGGUUUAAUUCGAAGCAACGCGAAGAACCUUACCAAAUCUUGACAUCCUUUGACAACUCUAGAGAUAGAGCCUUCCCCUUCGGGGGACAAAGUGACAGGUGGUGCAUGGUUGUCGUCAGCUCGUGUCGUGAGAUGUUGGGUUAAGUCCCGCAACGAGCGCAACCCUUAAGCUUAGUUGCCAUCAUUAAGUUGGGCACUCUAAGUUGACUGCCGGUGACAAACCGGAGGAAGGUGGGGAUGACGUCAAAUCAUCAUGCCCCUUAUGAUUUGGGCUACACACGUGCUACAAUGGACAAUACAAAGGGCAGCGAAACCGCGAGGUCAAGCAAAUCCCAUAAAGUUGUUCUCAGUUCGGAUUGUAGUCUGCAACUCGACUACAUGAAGCUGGAAUCGCUAGUAAUCGUAGAUCAGCAUGCUACGGUGAAUACGUUCCCGGGUCU